RNAcentral lists this ribosomal RNA (468 nucleotides) under uncultured bacterium. RNAcentral describes it as "partial 16S ribosomal RNA". It matches the Rfam family "Bacterial small subunit ribosomal RNA", at positions 28 to 507 of the family's 1533-position model. The record is from RNAcentral.
GACGAACGCUGGCGGCGUGCUUAACACAUGCAAGUCGAACGGAAAGGCCCUGCUUUUGUGGGGUGCUCGAGUGGCGAACGGGUGAGUAACACGUGAGUAACCUGCCCUUGACUUUGGGAUAACUUCAGGAAACUGGGGCUAAUACCGGAUAGGAGCUCCUGCUGCAUGGUGGGGGUUGGAAAGUUUCGGCGGUUGGGGAUGGACUCGCGGCUUAUCAGCUUGUUGGUGGGGUAGUGGCUUACCAAGGCUUUGACGGGUAGCCGGCCUGAGAGGGUGACCGGCCCCAUUGGGACUUCGGUACGGCCCAGACUCCUACGGGAGGCAGCAGUGGGGAAUAUUGCACAAUGGGCCGAAGCCUGAUGCAGCCACGCCGCGGGCGGGAUGACGGCCUUCGGGUUGUAAACCGCUUUCGCCUGGGACGAAGCGUGAGUGACGGUAAUGGGUAAAGAAGCACCGGCUAACUACGUG